AUGGAAAGCUGCCGAGAUCGUGGCCGUGCUUGGCUGGCUGCUCUCGCCCGUCAUCACCUUGCUCCUGCCCAAGAUCCUUGUCUGCCUUGGCUUCGACGCAUCCAAGAAGCUCCAGGAGCUGGAGAUCCACAUCAUCCCGGAGCUGAAGAAGACGCUGCAGGCCGUGGAUCAGGUGAGGAUGAUGCAGAGAGGAGAGAGGGUGAAAACCGAUUUGGAUGCGCUGGACAAGAUGGCCGCCAUGCUCAGGCAUGCUCUGGAGGACGCCGAAGACAUCUUCGACGAUGCUCAGCACAAAGGUCGUGCUCGGGUGCUGGCAUCGCCUCUGUGGCGCUUUCGCCACCUGCAUUGCCCACUGCAAAAGCAGCUGCAUCUGGAUUGCAUGCAUCGUCGGUCCCAACGAAAUCAGCUCGGCUGCUGCAGUGUGCACGGGACAUCUCCUUGUUCCGUCUAGGCAGAUCAGUGAAUAUCGGUGCCGUGAUCUCAAACGAGUCCGUUCCUGUGAUUAUUGAUAUUCCAGCCUCUGACAUUGAGCCUGAUCCGGUGAGUACCGGUGCUGAAGCCUCUGGCACUGAGAUCGUUCUGGUGACUACCGGUGCCACGGCCUCCGACGAGCCUGAUCCGGUGACUACCGGUGCUGAGGCCUCUGGCAAUGAGACAUUUUCAUAUUUCUCAGGGCGGUGGCUCUCUUGCUUGUGCAGCUCGUUCGACUUGUUCAAGAACUGUUGUGCAUCACUAUACAACUGGUGGUUAGUUCAUGUGUUUCAGGCUGCCUGCUUUUACAGAGACUGGUCAUAUCAAGUGAUUGGCAUCAAAAAAUGCCCGGAGAAUGCCUCCUUAUUUGAUAUGUUAGAUAUAUUCUCUACUGCUAUCUCAAUAGGGGAACUGAAGAAAAGAAUACAUAAGGUAGAAAACACCGUCAGUGAAGUGAAGAAGGCACCACUCUUGUGCGUGGCAAGCAACAGCACACAAAGUGAUAUUGCCAACAAGAACAGGAGAAGACUAGGAGCUGCUAGCAAGCGGGAGGUAUUUGGUCGAGAGGUGUUGCGUGAUGACAUCAUGGCAAGGCUGCGUGAGACACCACAGGUUGAUGAACCUAGCUCUAGUCCAUGUUACUCUGUGAUUGGCAUAUAUGGUGUUGCAGGGUCUGGGAAGACUACCUUUGCAGGAUAUGUUCGAGAUUACAUAAAGGAGGAAUGCAAGGAGGAGAAACUUUUCGACACCAUCAUGUGUAUUCAUGUGUCAGAGACUUUCAGUGUGGAGGAUAUAUUUCAAGAAAUGCUGCAGGAUAUUAGCGAAGAUAGUCUCUCCAGUAUUUCAGAUCAUAGGGGACUAAACAAAAAGUUGAAGGAAGCAUUGCGUGGCAAACGUUUCUUGUUGAUAUUGGAUGAUCUCUGGGUGAAAAACAAGAAUGACCAACAACUGGAGGAACUAAUCUCUCCACUCAAUGUUGGGUUGAAAGGAAGCAAAAUCCUGGUGACGGCUCGAACAAAAGAAGCAGCUGGAGCUCUGUGUGCCGAUAAACUUAUUGAAAUGCCUGAUUUGGAUGAGGAUCAGUACUUGGCGAUGUUUAUGCAUUAUGCACUAAGUUGUAAAAGUAUUGCCCUUAAAGAAUUUGAACAAGUUGGGAGAGAGAUUGCCAAAAAGCUACACCGAUCACCUAUUGCAGCAGUAACAGUUGCAGGACGGCUUGGGGCAAACCCAAAUAUCAGUUUUUGGAAAAAUGUUGCAAAGCUUGACAUGUUGAAUGACACCAUGGAUGCUCUCUGGUGGAGCUAUAAGCAGCUUAAUCCAGACAUAAUGCGAUGCUUUGAAUUCUGCAAUAUUUUCCCCAGAAGAUUCAAAUUGGAUAAACACGACUUAGUUGGCUUGUGGAUAGCGCAAGGAUUUGUAAAGACUAGUUGUCCAACAGAAGACAUGGAAGAUGUAGCUGAGGGCUACAUUCAAGAGUUGGUUUCAUGCUCAUUUCUGCGACCAGAUGAUUACUCUGAAGAAUGCUUUGCAAUUCAUGAUCUGCUGCAUGAUUUAUUAGCCAAGGUUGCUGGAAGUGAUUGCUUCAGGAUUGAGAACAUAUGGAGCCACAUAGGAGAAGGCUGGAAGGGAGAAGUCCCUCGAGAUGUCCGCCAUCUUUUUGUUCAGAAUUAUGAUGGGGAAUUGAUUACCAAGAAGAUCCUUGCAUUGGAAAAUUUACGCACCCUCAUCAUCUAUGUUGUUGGAUAUACACCAGUCGAGGAAAAAGUCAUUGAGAGUAUAUGCAAGAGGCUGCCGAAAUUGCGGGUACUAGCAGUUGCUUUCGGGGAGGACUAUUAUGUAAUCAGGAAACCCGAUGGGUUCUCUGUCCCAGAAUCUAUUGCUCAGUUAAAGCACCUACGCUAUCUUGCUUUAAGGACACAUAGUUCAUGCGCUGUAACUUUACCAAGCGCACUACCGAAGCUUCACCAUAUCCAGCUGCUAGAUUUUUACAAGGGCAAAAUACUGGAAUUCCCCUUUGCUGAUCUUGUCAAAUUGAGGCACAUGUUCUGCCGGCCAAACUUGAAAUUCCGUAACUUGGGCAGGCUGAUAUCACUCCAAACGCUACCAUCAUGCUUCACAGUAAGUAAUGAACAAGGGUAUGAGGUGAAGCAGCUGAGGGACGUAAACAAGCUUCGUGGCAGACUGGACAUCUAUGGCCUUGAAAAUGUGAAAAGCAAGGAGGAAGCUCUUGAAGCCAAUCUAGCUGCCAAGGAACGGCUCACAGAACUGUGCUUGGUAUGGUUUGGUGAUGAUGAUACAAGGUGCAGUCCAGAAGUUGAAGCAGAGGUACUUGCGGGCCUGUGCCCUCCCGUGGGGAUUCAAAAGCUUGUAAUACAUGGAUACAGAGGUUCAAGGUACCCAGAUUGGAUGGUGGGUAAGCAGAGCGGUGGCCCAGAUGGCCUGCGAAAUCUUCAACUCCAGCGAUGCAGCCAACUGGGACCUGGUCCUCAAUUUGAGGCUUUCCCUCAUCUUCGUGUGCUCUAUAUUUGGUGCUGCAGCUGGGACUCCUUGCCAGGCAACAUGGAGCACCUCACGUUGCUCGAGAAUCUAAAUAUCGUGGGAUGCAAGAAUAUCCGGUGUCUUCCAGCACUGCCCCAGUCUAUUGAGUGGUUUUCUCUUACUUCCUGCAACGAUGAAUUGAUGGAGUCUUGUAAAACAGCCGGACAUCCAAACUGGCAAAAGAUUGAGCACAUCCCCAGGAAAAGAUUUUCGGUGAUCUAG
RNAcentral lists this ribosomal RNA (3231 nucleotides) under Triticum aestivum (bread wheat). Its description in RNAcentral is "partial small subunit ribosomal RNA". Lineage: Eukaryota; Viridiplantae; Streptophyta; Magnoliopsida; Poales; Poaceae. The record is from RNAcentral.